CGCGGGCCGCAGGGCUGCGAAGGAGGGAGUUCCGGGCCCACAGGUGGCCGCCUGCGCCCGCGGCCCUUCCACGCACGGCCGGGCCCAGAGGCAAAGGGACUGGGGUCGCGCCCGGCUCCGGACCGGGAGAAGAUGAGCGGAGCCGGGCUCUCAGCCUCCCCACUAGCUACUGCACGGACCCGAGCUGGCCCCUGAAGGUCCCUGGGCCUCGGUUUCCUCGGCUGCCAUGUUAGAGUAAUCGCAGGCGCUACAGACAGAGAUCCAGGAGAGCCGAUUCUGGUAAGAACUUCCACCCUUUGAUGGCUUCUCUCAGGUUUCCUGGAUCAGUUUUCUCCAAGGCUCCAGAGGAAACACCAUGCUGGGAAGGACUAAAAAGUCAUGGGCUAUUUGGAUAUAAGGCUAUUUGGAUAUUUCAACAACU
Molecule: long non-coding RNA, 421 nt
Organism: Hyaena hyaena (striped hyena)
Lineage: Eukaryota; Metazoa; Chordata; Mammalia; Carnivora; Hyaenidae
Exons: 3
Source: RefSeq, a predicted model, not a curated record